This 630-nucleotide long non-coding RNA is filed under the name Mustela putorius furo (domestic ferret). RNAcentral describes it as "lncRNA (ENSMPUG00000028970.1)". The record is from RNAcentral. Lineage: Eukaryota; Metazoa; Chordata; Mammalia; Carnivora; Mustelidae.
ACCACCUACCCAGGAAUUUAAGCCAGACUUUAUCUACAGUUCCCACCUCUCUUAUGCUGUCUUUCCUAUGAACUCCCAAAAAACAGUCUUUUAAUCAGGAUCAAGUAAGGUUUGACGUUCGAUCAUAAAUACCCCUCACACAAGACUCAUGUCCAUCUCAUGGACUCUUCUUAGACAAGAAUGUUAGAACAGCCUACAUUCUGUUCCCAUGGUUCCACAAUGAACUCUUUAUGAUGUAAUUGAUAACGUCAUCCUCUUGUUUGAGAGAGCUCCCGAAGAGCAGAAAGAUAGAGCUUAAAUUACUUACUUAGCAUGACCUCCUCCCUUCCUUAGCCAGGACAUGCUGUCAAUCUCCCCAGAGGAAUACUGUGCUGUGGGAAUUCUGGAAGCCCUGCACCAUUUUUUUCGGUCUCUGGAGAACUCCUGCACAAGCCCUCCAUGUUGAGCUCAAAACGGAUCUUUUAGAAAACUUUCAUGGACCUCGGGCUAGUUAGAGACUCUCUUUCACCCUCUCAUAGCAUCCUUAUCUCAUUGCCUCUGCACUCUAAUAUUUCCUUUUCUGAUCUGUCCUUCCCUGCGGGCCCCUUCAGGGCAGCUAAGAGUACCCACUUCACAGAGCUCAAUAAAUAG